AUUGAACGCUGGCGGCAUGCCUUACACAUGCAAGUCGAACGGCAGCACGGGAGCAAUCCUGGUGGCGAGUGGCGAACGGGUGAGUAAUAUAUCGGAACGUGCCCAGUCGUGGGGAUAACGUAGCGAAAGCUACGCUAAUACCGCAUACGAUCUAUGGAUGAAAGCGGGGGAUCGCAAGACCUCGCGCGAUUGGAGCGGCCGAUAUCAGAUUAGGUAGUUGGUGAGGUAAAGGCUCACCAAGCCGACGAUCUGUAGCUGGUCUGAGAGGACGACCAGCCACACUGGGACUGAGACACGGCCCAGACUCCUACGGGAGGCAGCAGUGGGGAAUUUUGGACAAUGGGCGGCAAGCCUGAUCCAGCAAUGCCGCGUGCAGGAUGAAGGCCUCGGUUGUAAC
Molecule: ribosomal RNA, 397 nt
Filed under: uncultured bacterium
Lineage: Bacteria
Description: bacterial SSU rRNA
Rfam family: Bacterial small subunit ribosomal RNA
Source: RNAcentral